GGAUAAUAAAGCAUUUCCCCCUUCACUGCCCCUCCCUUGUCUCCCAAUUUAUGAGUCUGGCAGGAACUGAUUAGCUUGUAAACUGUUCUGGUCUCCCUUGGAGAAAAACAUCUGAUGGAGGCGGUGAGGAUGGUUACAGUUUUCAGAAUUGAAGAUUUCAAAGCAAUGCUUCCCAAUACGUGGAAGUGAAGACUUUGUUACAUCUGGACUCAGAUGCCUGAGAACUAAAAGUCUUACAGAGACCUCAUCAUAGAAGAACUGUCCUGGAGGAAGAGGAAGGAGAAAGAGAAAAAAUGUUUUAUAUCCUGGGGGAAGCUCCUGAUUUUCAAGCUCUGCUCCAAGCUCUGGGCUGAAGUAGAGAGCAAUGAUUUUGUUGAGCAGGAUUACCUCUUUUAUGCUCAGUUAAUUAAAACAUUUUUCUGGAUGAUGCAAAAGUCUGCAAAGCCAUAAAGCCAUAGGGACUGUUAGUAAUUCUGGCCUAAUGUUACUCUUCCUAUAAUCAGUAACCUUCCCAGAAAUAAAUAUCCAGUUCAGUAAAAACCAUCCCCUUCUAGAAAGACAAGAAGGGGUACAUGGUCAAAAUCUCAUGAGGCUGAUUUGAAAGGACCCAAAGCCCUGUCCUCGGUUGUUUUAUGCCAGCAACCUCUGGUGCCCAUUUUGUGUAGGCAUUGUGUGACACACUCAUUUGAUUUUUACAGCACUUAAAGUUUGCAUUAAUUUGUGUUAUACUAGAUGCUAAAGUUUCA
This 746-nucleotide long non-coding RNA is filed under the name Homo sapiens (human). Its description in RNAcentral is "HSALNT0002646". The record is from RNAcentral. Lineage: Eukaryota; Metazoa; Chordata; Mammalia; Primates; Hominidae.